GGACGAACGCUGGCGGCGUGCCUAAUACAUGCAAGUCGAGCGAGUGAAAUCAUCAGAAGCCUUCGGGUGGACGAUGAUGGAUCUAGCGGCGGACGGGUGAGUAACACGUAGGCAACCUGCCUGUAAGACGGGGAUAACUCCGGGAAACCGGAGCUAAUACCGGAUGACUCUUUYUCUCGCAUGAGAGRGAGCUGAAAGGUGGCGCAAGCUACCGCUUACAGAUGGGCCUGCGGCGCAUUAGCUAGUUGGUGAGGUAACGGCUCACCAAGGCGACGAUGCGUAGCCGACCUGAGAGGGUGAUCGGCCACACUGGGACUGAGACACGGCCCAGACUCCUACGGGAGGCAGCAGUAGGGAAUCUUCGGCAAUGGACGCAAGUCUGACCGAGCAACGCCGCGUGAGUGAGGAAGGUUUUCGGAUUGUAAAACUCUGUUGUUAGGGAAGAACAAGUAUCGGUUGAAUAAGCCGGUACCCUGACGGUACCUAACGAGAAAGCCCCGGCUAACUAC
RNAcentral lists this ribosomal RNA (509 nucleotides) under Bacillaceae bacterium 'ARUP UnID 139'. RNAcentral describes it as "bacterial SSU rRNA". It matches the Rfam family "Bacterial small subunit ribosomal RNA", at positions 27 to 504 of the family's 1533-position model. Lineage: Bacteria; Bacillati; Bacillota; Bacilli; Caryophanales; Bacillaceae. The record is from RNAcentral.